GGCCUUUGUGUUGCCCGUUCACUUUCUAAGUAGCGAAUGAGGUGUCAGAAAAGGCCUAAAAGAAUCUCCCUCAUGGUCACCUCUUGUUCUUCAGAGUGCGACUGUGAUGGAACAUUU
Molecule: non-coding RNA, 117 nt
Organism: Xenopus laevis (African clawed frog)
Lineage: Eukaryota; Metazoa; Chordata; Amphibia; Anura; Pipidae
Source: Rfam